GGAGGGCCGAACCGACUACCGUUGAAAAGUGAGCGGAUGACCUGUGGAUCGGAGUGAAAGGCUAAUCAAGCGCGGAGAUAGCUGGUUCUCCCCGAAAGCUAUUUAGGUAGCGCCUCGUGUAUCACUGCUGGGGGUAGAGCACUGUUUCGGCUAGGGGGUCAUCCCGACUUACCAACCCGAUGCAAACUCCGAAUACCAGCAAGUGUCAGCACGGGAGACACACGGCGGGUGCUAACGUCCGUCGUGAAACGGGAAACAACCCAGACCG
This 268-nucleotide ribosomal RNA is filed under the name Klebsiella pneumoniae. RNAcentral describes it as "partial 23S ribosomal RNA". It matches the Rfam family "Bacterial large subunit ribosomal RNA", at positions 768 to 1034 of the family's 2925-position model. Lineage: Bacteria; Pseudomonadati; Pseudomonadota; Gammaproteobacteria; Enterobacterales; Enterobacteriaceae. The record is from RNAcentral.